RNAcentral lists this ribosomal RNA (621 nucleotides) under uncultured bacterium. RNAcentral describes it as "bacterial SSU rRNA". It matches the Rfam family "Bacterial small subunit ribosomal RNA", at positions 223 to 863 of the family's 1533-position model. The record is from RNAcentral.
AGAUGAGCCUGCGGCCUAUUAGCUAGUUGGCGGGGUAAAUGCCCACCAAGGCAACGAUAGGUAUCCGGCCUGAGAGGGUGAACGGACACAUUGGGACUGAGACACGGCCCAGACUCCUACGGGAGGCAGCAGUUAAGAAUCUUGGACAAUGGACGAAAGUCUGAUCCAGCGACGCCGCGUGAAUGAUGAAGGUUUUCGGAUUGUAAAGUUCAGUAAGCAGGGAAGAAUAAAUGACGGUACCCGCCUAAAGCAUCGGCUAAAUACGUGCCAGCAGCCGCGGUAAUACGUAUGAUGCAAGCGUUGUUCGGAAUUAUUGGGCGUAAAGGGCAUUCAGGCGGGAUAUUAAGUCGGGUGUGAAAUCUGGAGGCUCAACCUCCAAACUGCAUUCGAAACUGGUAUUCUUGAGUCAGGGAGAGGAAGGCGGAAUUCCCAGUGUAGCGGUGAAAUGCGUAGAUAUUGGGAAGAACACCGGUGGCGAAGGCGGCCUUCUGGCCUAUGACUGACGCUGAAGUGCGAAAGUGUGGGGAUCAAACGGGAUUAGAUACCCCGGUAGUCCACACCGUAAACAUUGCAUACUAGGUGUUAGAGAUUUAAUCUCUAGUGCCGUCGCUAACGCAGUGA